Molecule: long non-coding RNA, 1758 nt
Filed under: Homo sapiens (human)
Lineage: Eukaryota; Metazoa; Chordata; Mammalia; Primates; Hominidae
Description: HSALNT0249366
Source: RNAcentral
AGAAAAAUACAUAAGUAUGGUUUCAUUUAAAUAAACUUCAAAAUUAUCCAAAAUUAUCUAAUAAAUUACUAUAGAAUACAAACAUAUGUGUAAAAACUACAAAGAAAAGCAAAAAUAAAAAAGACAAAAUUUAGGGUAGUAGCUAUGAUAUAGUCUAGCUCUGUGUCCCCACCCAAAUCUCAUCUUGAAUUGUAAUCUGAAUUAUAAUCCCCAUGUGUUGAGGGAGACACCUCAUGGAAGGUGAUUAGGUCAUGGGGGUGGUUCCUCCGUGCUGUUCUUGUGAUAGUAAGUGAGCUCUCAUGAGAUCUGAUGGUUUUACAAGGGGCUUUUCUCUCCUUCACUCUGCACUCAUUCCCUCUCCUUCUGCCCUGUGAAGAGGUGCCUUCUGACAUGAUUGUAAGUUUCCUGAGGCCUCCCCAGCCAUGCUGAACUGUGAGUCAAUUAAACCUCUUUUCUUUAUAAAUUACCCAGUCUGAAGUAUGUCCUUGAAGCAGCAUAAGAAUGGACUAAUACAAGUUACCUCUGAGCAGGAUGAGGGGCAAGAGAUGGGGUCAGGAAGAGCAUAAAUGGCAACUUCCAUAUGAAUGGAGACUCUCUGCAGACUGCUAAAAGGACCUCAUUUGAGUAAACUGAGUAUGUGAAUGCCCUAUAGAGCUGUUACGGAGAAAGAGAACCACCGUUAUAAUGUUAUAUUUCCAUUUCUUCAGUGUGACGGUUAAUACUGUCAACUUGAUUAGAUUGAAGGAUGAGAAGUAUUGUUCCUGGGUGUGUCUGUGAAGGUGUUGCCAAAGGAGUUUAACAUUUGAGUCAGUGGACUAGGAAAGGCAGACCUACCCUCAAUCAGCUGCCAGCACAGCCAGAAUAAAAGCAGGCAGAAGAAUUUGAAAAGACUAGACUGGUUUAGUCUUCUCGCCUCCAUCUUUCUCCCAUGCUGGGUGCUUCCUGACCUCAAACACCGGACUCCAAGUUCUUCAGUUUUGGGACUCAACUGGCUUCCUGGCUCCUCAGCUUGCAUACGAUCUAUUGUGGGACCUCAUCUUGUGAUCGUAUCAACCCCAUCUCAGUGACUGCAUUCUCUAAUUCUCUUGUGCAAUGGAAAUGCUAGCAUGAGAGAAGGCGACAGCACCACCUCCAAAUCUGCAGACAUCCACCCUUUGAUGUAGAACAAUCACACUGGCCAUGCCACAUGAAAUCCAUAAUUUGUAUUAUUCAUUUGAGAAUAUAUCAUGAUCAGAAAGCAUACUCAUAUUCAAAGUUUAAGGAAUUGUCUUUUUGUGUAAUUUAAUAAAGUAUACACAUUCCAAAAAUAAUGACACGAACUUGCUUUAUCCAACAUUCCUUGACUAUCACUAAAAGUAGUAAAAUUGGCAUUUAUUCUUUUUCUGCUUCAGCUCCUGGUUGUAAACCCUACCUGAACACCUACAGUCAUAAUCUGUAGCUUUAUACUAGAACUUACUAUAAACAAGCAGUACAACAGGGACCAUAAUUUUCCACGAAGAAAAUGCACUGUAGGAGACAUACCUGGUUCUCAUUUAACUUCAGAAACAUCAGCAGAUACCCAAGACUCUUCAAAAAUUGAUUCACUGUUUUGAGAAUAAGUUGAAGUUAAAUAGAUUCUUUCAUAUGGAUGCACUAUUGUAUUUAAAACUGGAAAGGCUUUGGAGUAGCAGAAACAAGUAAAAGAGGAAAUAUUUUGCUAGAGAAUGUGAAUUGUACUGAUGGCCAUUCUGGAUUUAUUUUAGAAAGCAAUGUAUCAAG